CAGCCCAGAAAUUCUGAGAACUAAUUUGCUAUUCUGUGACAUAAGACAAGGGGUCCGGGCUCUGUUCUGUAACUGUGUGAAGCACAUAAGCCUCUUUCUACACCCAGCACACAGGGGGACACACUGGACAGGGCACACCAAUAAAGACUCCUUCUAUACAAUAAAGCUCCAAAAGACAGAUUCCAUAGCUCAGGGUGAGGGGUGGCAUUCAGGUGGGUUAUUUUUUGUUUUGGAGGGGAUCCCACUACCUCCACAAGGCCCAUACACUCCACAGGACUGGGAGAUGAGCAGCUGGAUCCCUAUUGAGAGUCUGGAUGUGAGAUCUAUGCUGUAUCAUCCCGAUUCUGCACACUGAGAUGAUUUAUUUUUAUCCAAAGUUCUAAUUAUUUUGUUUUUGUCUUUAUUUUUUGUUCCUGUUCCCUGGGAGGGGGACACCCAGCAUUCAGUGAAAGCUGUCAGUGGAUUUGCUUGGCAUUCCUAUUUUCCCAUGGACUAAAUGUGGUAUGGUAUUUGCUGUAAUCAAUAACCAUAAAUCAAGGGUCUUAUCACUGUGAUAGAUCAGAUCAGAUCAGAGCUGAGCAUUUAUUUUCCUUAGCUCUGAACAUAGAUGCAUGUUUUGUCUUGAAAUGUUUUAAUGUCGGUAUGCUUUUGUAUUAUAGCUGUAUGUUAUGAAACUUGACUGUAUGUCUGUCUAUUUAUUCCAUUAAAUAUGUUACAUUACUGGGAGCACACUGCUUAAAAAGCCCAGAGAAUCAGUGCUGUAGGCGGGAGUUUUUUUGCCCUGGGAGGGAAAGUUUAUAGAAACUACUCUAUAAACCAGAAUAUAUGUCUUCAUUUGUCUGUUUGGGUGCAUGGGUGGGGCUUGACUGUCUACAGGAACUAGACAUAUACAAAUUUAUGUUCAAUGACAUUUACAGACAGCAGUGUUCCUGGCUGGGCAGCCCUUAACCUUUUCAUUACCACUCAGACCACUACAGCCGGAAGAGUUAAAUUUAUAGCACUGUACAGAUACACUGAGAGUGUGCUGAGGGAGUGUGUGAGGCUGAAAAAGGAGCAUAACUCUUACAUCAGUAGCCGGAAACAGGAUUACAGCCCAACUAAUCAGAUUGUCCAUGGUUUUACAUUGCAGUCUGUGCCUAUAAAUUGACAGCUUUAAAAUGUGACACACACAGCUUAACCCAUUCAGUGCCAGGAGGUUGCAGAUCAUUCUCGUGUUCCAAAUUAGUAUGACCUAACAGAUGUUGUGUGUCAUGGAUUUGAGGAUUGUACUCUAUACUGCUUUUCAGGCAGAGAUACAAAGUUUAGCUAUAGUUUACAUUAUCAUGAAAGUUGUAUCACCUUAAAACUUUGCAGUGAUAGUCUAGCUAAACUGAUAAGAAUGUUGGAAGAUGGACCUCUGACUUCAGCGAAGUUCAUUCUGCAGGCCUAUGUCACCAGCUGUUAAUUAACUCAAUAAAGUCUAUGUGAGGUCUUCUCAUUUAACCAGGAAAUUUGAAAAGAUCUGCAAAUUUUAGGCCAAAUUUGAAACUAAGCCAGUUUGGUUAUUUUAGUUUAAAAUCUGCAGCCCCUUGGUGAGUAAUCCAAAUUUCUGCUUUAGUGAAUACGGUCAUGUUCCACUAAAUGAAAAUUGUUGUUUGAUAAUGUCUGUACGUCAUCUUGUGUGUAUCAAAAUGUGGUUUUAAUUUACAGAAUAAAUCUGAACAGUCUUUUAUACUCUGUGCGUAGUGUUGAUUCGUCAUUCCUAUCCACUUGUUAUUUAUAACAUGGAUUAGCUGUUGAUAUGUUGUUAAGUUGACUAGGCUUCAGUUUAUUGACACACUAUUACACUGGGAUUUCUUAAUAUAGUAUUCUAAAAAUGGUUUGGCAUUACCCUUGUUUUUAAGGUGGCUAUAACUAAAUAAUGAACUGCAUAGAAUAUAGAUAGAAAUUGCAAAACGUAGGGCACAUAGCCAUGAUGGGUAGAAAAUUCUCAAACUCAACAAUUCUUCCAGUAUUUCACUUUGGCCUAUAUUCUGCACUUUACUUCCUACUGAACACAGUGGGAAACAACAAAAAAAACAUUAGAUUGGAUACUUCUGCUACUAUUUGUUAAUGUACAGAGUGUUUUAGGCCUCUUUCAUGUUUGGAUAUUUCUGUUUUGGUUUUUAUUUAUUUAUUGUUUUUUUUAUUUUUUUUAUUAUCACGUAGAACAAAAUAUUGCGUCAUUACUCUGCAGAGGGAACAAACUAUCACGCCAAAGCUGAACAUGGCAGAGAGAAUAUUUAACACUUUAUAGUGAUAUUGACUAUUUUCGGAAGUAUCAUUUUUAAGCAUAUCAUCACUACUAAAUGAAACUGUUUUUAUAUCACGUGCAAGGAUUCUGUCAGUCUGUACAUACCUGCGAUUUUAAUGUGAUUUUUUUUCCUACCCUUUCUUCAUGCAUAAUUAAAAAUAUAUGUUCUGGAAAAUCGGGUAGAGCUAUAAUUUUAGCCAAUGCAGAAGUCCUAUGCACAUCUGCCUGUUGCCAUAUAUCUCUAUAAAAACCUAUGAAGGUUACCAGCUUAAUGCCAUCUGAGUGUCUGCCUUUUUAAAUGCCCUUCGUGCACUUGAUCCUAUUGAAGUAGGAAUAAGCUGUUUCUGAUCCUUCUCACAAGCAGAAUAUAAUAGACAAGCACUGGUACUUUUCCAUUGAGAUCAAGUGUUGCUUGACUUUUUUGUACUAUACAUGUUAACCCACUAAAUCAGUGGUUCCCAACCCAGUCCUCAAGUAUCACCUAACAGUCCACGAUUUAGGGAUUACCCUGUUGUGUCUAAAGUGGGUUUUUUUGUUUUUGUUUUUUCAAAAACACCUUAGACACAAUAGGGUAAUCCCUAAAUUCUGGACUGUUAUGGUAUACUUAAGGACUGGGUUGGGAAACACUGCCCUGAAGGAUGCAUGACAAAAUAAUUCUGUCAUGGUUGUCCUACCCUUAAGGAUCCAGCAGGACUAUUUCCCUUCUUUUUACUGCAAAACCCCAGGAAUCACAGGUAACCCCAUAUCAGCAACGUUCAAAGUGAACACUACACACAGCCAUUUAAAUCAACGUGGCUGAUCUGCUGGAUUACAUCAACAGAGAGAGACAUACAAAUUCCUCUGCUACCUCGUCUCAUCUCCCCAUUUUAACCUUUAGAUUGUAAGCUCACGGGCAGGGCCCUCUACCUGUUGGAUCGGUCUGUUCUUAUUGUGUUGUCUUUUUCCCAGUUAUACAGCACUGUGGAAUAUGUUAGCAUUUUAUAAAUGCGAUUAAUAAUAAUAAUAAUAAUAUGUGGGAUCUGAAUAGACCACAAUGCGGUUCUCCCUUUAAGUCCCCUGAAGCACGAUCACUGCCUGAAGAGGGUAAUCAAUGUCCGGGCUGUGCAAGUUGCCUAGCAUAGAUCACUCUUUGUGAUUACAUUGAUAGAAGGGCUUUAAAUCACAUCAUGACAAUUUGUCACUAUAUGAUUUAACAGCAGAGAAGAAAGGUAUUUAAAUUAUUUCUCUCAUGCUGCUGUUGUCAGCAAGGAAAUCUCUUUACUGACAUGAUUAUAGGGAAUCCUUCUAACACUAUUGCUAAGGUUAGGGUUUAGGUUAGAGUUAGGGUUUAGAUUAGGGUUAGUUAGUGUUAGUAGGUGGGGUUAGUGUUAGUGAUUGGGGCUAGAUAGUGUUUAAGGCCUUGGUGUUAGUGUUUGGGGUUAGUUAGUGUCAGUAAUUAGGGUUAGUUAGUUAGUGGUUAGGCAUAGUGUUAGUAUGUAGGCUUAGUUAGUAUUCAUGUGUAGGGUUACAGUUAUGGUUAGCAUUUAGGGUAAGUGUUAGUGUUAUGGUAGCAUUAGGGGUGGCAGCAUAGACCGAUACCAACCACUCAUUUAAAAAAAAAAAAAAAAACCUGCAAUAUGAAGAAUUUGGCGCUGUAUCCUUGCAUAAUCUUUGCAAAGGUGUAUAUAGGGAGUAUUGUACUCGGGAGAUGUAGCUGAGAACAGUUUAGGGCUCUACUACAGAGGCACACAAAUGCGAUUUAAAAAAAAGCAUGCCAUGUAUGGUAUAUGUAAAAAAUAUGUAAAAUAAAAAGUACUGCAAAGUUUGAAAGAAAAUAGUGAAACAUGGCAGCUCAAUACAACUUAAUAAAUGAUGUUAGGUUCCAUGGUGUCCACGAUUGAAAAUGAUAUGUAUUUAUGAAGUAAUUUAAAUGCUUGGGCUGCUAAAGUGCCCCAAAGUGUACCAAGGACCGAUCUUCAAUUUUACCUUUUUGUAUUUUUUUUUUUAAACUGCACGGCGCGGGUUAUAAACUCAUCCCCCUAUUUUUACAAAAACUUGACAAAGGUGUGCAGAGGUGGUCAUUCUGUAUUCGGGAAAUAUAUAGGAGCACAAUUUAGUGAUUUUUUUUACAGCAGCACAAUUCAAGUUUACAAAUUAACCAGUAAUUUACAAUGUGCAUGUAAAAUAAAUUGAAAAUAAUAUGUUAUAUCACACUUUGAAAUAAAUUGGUGAAAGAUGGCUGUUAAAUAAGGCUGAAAAUAUACCACAUGGCAAUGGCAUAACCUGUUGGUAUCAACGUUUGCAAAUUAUAUGUAUAUAUCAGUAAUUUAAUCUGUCUCACAGAUAAAAAGCUCCAAAAUGAGGAAUAGGCCCAUCAAAUACACCUAUCAAAAUUCAAACUGUAAAAAUUGAAAUAGUCAGGUCUCUCACAUGGCAUUGUGACUUCACAAGAUUGUGGCAAAUAGGGGGUAAUUGUUUUACUCAGAACAGUUAGCUGAGCAUAAUUCGGAAUGUAUAAUAAUAGUGGUAUGUAUCAGAAUUACAAAAUCCCUAGCAAAUAUUGAAAAUGCAUGUAAAAAAAAAUAAAAAUACUACAAACGGACUUUAACUGAUGAACGCAUGGUGGCACAAUAAGGUACAAUAUAUUCCAUACGGGGUCCCGUGGAAUGCCUGCUUUCAUAAAUUGUAGGCCUUUGUGGGGUAAUUUGAACAGUCAAACUGCUGCCCCAAAAUGAUACAUAGGCCUGUCAAAACAUAUAUCAAAAUCUAACUGUAAAAACUGAAACAGUCAGGUCUCUUCUAUAGCACUGCAGUUUCACAGUAUCGUGAUAAAUGCAUACAUUUGGACUAUCAUUGUACUCAAAAGAUGUAGCUAAACAUAUUGUGGUGCUUUGUACAGGAGUAGCACACAUCCGGUUUACAAAAUACACAUAGAAAAAAAACUAUUUUAUGUUUGUAUGUAAAAAAAAACCACACAAACAACAAAAUUGUUGCAACUUUUUAAAGAGAUUGGCAGUUAAAAUGUCAAAAUAGCUUUAGGUAAAUACCCUGUGAUGUCUGCUUUAUAUAAAUAUAUAUACUUUUGUGCUGCUAUUUUGUUUUCUGUGAUAGCUAUUAAAGUUUGAAGACAAACUUAUCAAAUUCUAAAAUUACUCCACAUUGAAAUUGUAUUUUACGCCUUGUAUUUUGUGACCUUAUAUAACAAAAAUAAAACUAAAAAAUCCUAGACAUAUCUACAGGACCAAAAAAAUGAAUGUAUUUUGAAUUACUUCUCUUUAGCUGCACUAAAUAUACACAUUUUUAUUGAUAAAAAUGUGAACAAAAAUGUUGUUUUGCAUUUUUUUUAAAUUCUUUUCAUGAAUGAGAUUUUAUAUAUGUAUAUGUCACAUCAAAUUAAAUUCCUUUUUAUCCUUUAGAAAUUGGUAAAUAAUUGUAGUUGAACACACACAUAGCAAAAAUGACAAAUUUACUUGUGUCCUGUAGUACAAAAUAAGCAAAGUGUCCUUAAGGAUUAAAGGGCGUUUGCAUUACACUCCAACCAUUGGGAGCAUUCCACCUGAGUCGAAGGCAAUAACACAGUCUGUGCCCAGCAGUGUAAUGUGGGAUAUGUGUUUACAACAUUCUAUCCAUUUCAUUAACAAAUGUGAUACUGCAGCUAUGGGCCCUGGAUAAUCAAUAACAGCAACCUGUUAAACACAGGUCUUGUCAAUUUUUAACUCGGCAUACAAAGUGCAAAGUCUGAAUAUUGGGUUGGAUGAAAUUGCUUAACUAAAAUUAUAAAUGCAGACCUGCAAACCUUUGUAAAAAAAAUGCAAACAGCAAGAGGUUAUUCAAGAUUAAUUAAAUCAGAGGCAGACUCGUGUUCAUUUGUGACAAAUAAUUAAUUCCCUCAACUCUUUUUUUUUUUUAAAUACAGUUCAUAAACAAUAUAUAAGUGUGUGUGUGUGACAUAGAAGAUCCAGCGCACUCGCUUAUUUACUAAACUGCAAUUUCAAGUUUCACAGAAUGUAAUAGUUUUAUUUUUUAAAACCAUCUCACCAAGGCAAAAAAAUAAUGGGAGUUUAGUUACAGUAUAUCAUCAUACAUUGCAUUAACCUGCCACAACAUCAUAUGUGUGUGUGUGUAUAUAUAUAUAUUUAUUUAAAACAUGUUAUCCUGCACUGGAGGACUGUUCCAGCGAACCUCGAAAAAGAUAGCACUCCUAAAACUUCUUAAAAUAUUUUUUUGUACUUCGGAUAAUCCUAGGAGUGCUGUCCUUUUUUUGGUUUUCAUGGAUAGAUAGAUAUAUAUAUAUAAGCACUCACAAUCUAUCUGAUUAAUACCCAUUUUAUGUGCUUUUACAAGCAAUAACAUAACAUUGAAUUAUAGAAUUUAUGGAAUAUAUUAAUAUUAUUUUUCUAAAAACUGUGUGAUUGUUCCACACAUCUCAUGAUAGAUAGAUAGGCAGACAGACAGAGAGAUAGAUAUUGACAUACAAGAAGCAUUGUAGUUUUUAUUUACUCUCAAAUACAGGUCGCCUCAAUUAACCCUGUUUUAUGAUGGGAAUGGAUAUGAAUAAAAGCUUUCAAAGAAAUUCUACGAACUGUUACUGAUAACAGAUUUACCACAGCAACUAUAGUCAUUCAUUUCUUUCUUGCAUCAUAUGUAUCCAGUGUGAUGUCACAACAUUUUUGCCUAGUGCACACACACACUACCUCAGAGUUCCUGUUUACAUACUCUGUUUUGUCACUUUCCUAUUGCUGAAGAAAUAAUCUUCAUUUAUUUGUCUGCUAUUGCACUUUUUCUGUAUUGUAAAAAUACAACAGAAUUAUAUGUUGAGAAGUGAAGAUAUUUCAAGCAUUAUACAUUCUAUAAAUCUAACUAUCUAUCUGUCUGUCUGUCUGUCUAUCUAUCGCUCUGUCUGUCUCUCUGUCUAUCUAUGAAACACUGCAAUUUUUCAAUCAUUUACAGAUUAGAUUAACAAGAUUAGUGUUGAUAAACAGGUAUGGAAUUUAUUUAGCCGUUAUAAUCAGUGAUCUUAUUUGCAGAUAUAGUAAAAUAAGAAAAAUAAUGAACUAUGUAAAACCUCAUUACUCAUUUUGCUUUAAACUCCAACAGUAUAAAACACAGCUGUGUGAAUGUGUAAAAUUGUUUAAUUGUACACACCUAUACUCAGAUAUACAUUUAUAUAUAUAUAUUUGUGUAUUACAGUUCACAUCUCUACCUUAAAUCCUAUCCUAAAAUGUUACGGAAAAGCACAGAGAAGGUUUCAUGCCAGAGUCAAUAUUAAUUGCAACAUCAAAGUACCUUUUUAAUAUUCCAAAGAUUGUAACAGGUUUAGCUGGUUAAAUAUGUAUGUAGGACAGUUGAAAGUUUAAUGGAAGGUGUGUUAGUUAUUGUAGUUAAUACUUCAUUUAAUGCAAAUUUACUUCUCAUAACUCUAAAUAAACUUUGAUUUCAAUACUGCCAUACACUGGUAAUGGUAGGAUAUGGAUUUUCUGUCUGUUAAUGGAGAUGUAGUAGGGGUGAACAAAAAGCAAGGCGAUGGCCUGAUUCAAGAUCACGUUAAUUUAGAAAAAAGUUUUUAUAGUUGACCAAUUAGGAGUACAUCAGUAACAGUUUACUGACCUAUUUGUUUACUAGCAUGGAUAUAAAAACAAGAAAGUCUCUUAUUCAACCUGGUGGAAUAUUCGCUAAGCAUGAGUUUGUGAUGAGUUGGCAAACGUGUUCCAACUUUUAGGCCAAAACAAUUUCCAAUUCUGAAGUAUAUUCACAGUAUUAGGACUCAUUAACCAAUUUUCAAAACGUCUAGCAUGCAGGAGAAACACCCUUACCUCCGGUUGGACGGUUAUUCAUAGGACAGACGAAAAAAGUUACUAAACUCAGGAUAGGGUGCCAAAGAAUAGCCCUGCAUCAAGGUUACUCAAAAAUAUAGGCUGAUGAAGUUUCUAAACAGGAAAGUAGUGUGCAUGUAUACCAUAUAUGCUUGUGUAAUUAAAUUAUAUAUAUGUGUGCAAUAUGUGAAAAGUGGAUGGAAAUGUAAAAAAAAUUAAAAAUACAGUAUUGUAUAUGCUAUUGUGAUUUCAGAUUUGUUGGGAAAUAAUGAUCACUCACAUAUCAGAGAGCAAUAUGUUCUGAUUUGUUUAAAAAAAUGUUUCCCCAAAAUGUGUUCUUGCAUCCUUUAAUAAGGUAAAAAAAAAAAAAAAAACAAUGGACCUAUGGCAAGAUUGAUAGUCUACAGGUUAAAAUAUAGUAUAAUAAAGCCCACAUAGCAUGAAACAUAAAGGCCUCACAUUAACAUUUAUCUUUUAUCUAGAUAAAACUACAGUCUGUCCCUGAUUAAUACAAUGUAGCAUUCUUGGCAAUUUUGCUGUAUGACAAUCCAAUAUGGCUCCUGGUUGCUUUCUUGUUAUUUAUAUUAUAUCUCCAACAAUGUGAAUUUUUGGCAGCUCUACUCGUUUCACAUAAAGCUGUACACACGCUUUCUCCUUAUAUAUACAUAAAGCAAACAUACUACAAACAAAUGAAUAAAUCAAAACUCAUUGAAACCAUUAUUGGGAAAGUCCACUGCAGUGGAAUCUGAACAUUUUGUUCAGUUGAUUAAAGCACCAAAUAGUAUUCAUUUCAAAGUUCACCUAUUACAGUUUUGUGUGUAUAGCACACAUAUUUCUAUAACUAUAUAAAUGCUGCAUAUUUUAUUUUAGUUACUUGAUUCUGCUUGGAAAAAUAGUGUGAAUACGGGAUGGCAUUUAAGAGUUUUCUUUCACAACUAAGCACCUGGUUUAAUUAUAAUAAUAUUUUAAUUUGCAAUGUACGGAAGAAGCGUCAAAAUGUAAGCAGAAUACCAAACAAAAGCCAAGUUUCUAGAUUACUGAUACAAUCAAGCAAGCAGCUGAGAUUGUUCUGAUGUUUUCUAGGGAGGUUGCGUAAGAGAAAGGUGCAUGUAUUUAAUUGCACACGAAACGUGCUCUGAACUGGGACAAGAUACAAACAUGAACUUAUUAAUUCUGUAACCACAAGGAGUUGUGACGCACAUUGAAUAGCUAGGAGGUCAACAUUUAGGUUAGAGGGCACGAAACAGAAGAAUCAAAAAAAGCAAAUCAAUAACAACAAUUACAAAUAAAAGAAAACAAACACAGAUACCUUAGAAUCCUUAAUAACUACGGUAGGACCACAUUCUCUCACCCAAUGGGCAUGUAGGUUGGUAUUAGUAGCGAUUGGUAAUUAAGAGGUACAGGCAGAAUGCAGAUGAACAAUGGUGGUUUGCCUUAUUCAAUAAUUGUGGGGUCAGUUAGGCCCCUUAAGAACAGUAGGAGGCUCACUGCCUUCAAGUAGUGCGGAUUUAGGGGUAGGGGAUUGAGCAGGUCUCCCCUUGUUUAGUAGAGACCCCCCUAUAUUUUAUUAACCUUAGAUCCCACAUACAGUUGAAAUACAGUUGACACAUGUACAUUGUUUUUUGUCUCCAGUCUGACGUGAACACUGUGAGCAGUUGAUUAACUGCACCCUGGUUUUGUCCAGUUAUUUAUUAUUUUUUUAUUCAUAUUUUAUUUUAUUAUUAUGCUUUACUCUUGUCUCACUGGAAAGACAGUCAUGUAGCUUUUUAUGCCUGGCACCAAUCUUGAAUGGAUUUUCCUUCAAAGAUGACCAAACGAUAUCAGUGGGAUUUUCAGGUCUACUAGCAUUAAACGAAUUACCAAGGUCAGUUUGGGUAAUUUUCUCCCCAUACUCCGCUAAUAAUUGGGCAGACUAGAUGGGCCGAAUGGUUCUUAUCUGCUGUCACAUUCUAUGUUUCUAUGUUUUUAUUAGCAAACAACACGAGGAUGGGUUGGCCUCAAACCACCAUUUAAUAAUGGCUAAAACUACUUUUUUCAACCUUCAUUACAUAAACAGUUGUUGAAGAGACAGGAUUUACUAUGCAGACUACACAGAUAAAUGGAUGCAGCAGUUCUUUCUUUGAAGGCAUGAACCUCUGAUUUCUCAUACUUGCCUAACGUACAUAGACAAAUACACAUUUUGCAGAUUUACUUCUUUCAAAGCUGUGACUUUCACUCAGAAGGCCAAGCACUAAUACUCUGACUUAUGUAGAGCUUUAGUUCAAUUUUAAUCAGCGACCAAAUAUGCUAACAGUUUGUCAUGUUUACAAAAGGUGUCUAUAUUAUAUUUAUACAAGGGACUCUCAGGACCAGUAUUUGUUAUUCUCUGAGUACUUGUAGAAGUGUGAAUACAGUACAGUAAAUAUAUACCAUUCUUCAAUAGGUUUCAUAAAAGUGAAAAAAGGAGAGAGAAGGGGGGUGCUCAAAGGUAAUAAUACAAUAUUAUACUUAUAUUAGUACAUCAAUAAUAAUACGAUCCAUAUUUCACUGGGUCAAUCUGGAAGAAAUAAACAGAAUAUACAUAGCAUAAUACUGUAAGGGAGAAUUAUACACCAACAGUGUAGAGGUAAUGGGUCACUCACGAUCUGUAGAGCCUUAAAUAGCAGGCUCUAACUGUAAUAGCUUGUCAAGCAAUCUGCUUCUCCCAGCUAUGUUGACUUGGAAUUCCUCCAGAUGCUUUAUCCAACCAUACCACGACUAUCACAGCCAAAUGGGUAGGGAUAUAAGAAAACUUUUAUUUUGACAUAUAGUAAAAUAAAAACAUACAGGGCACAACGCGUUUCGACUUCCGUCUUCUUCAAAGGUGCAUAUAACAUAACAGUUCCCAGUCUCAUUUAAAUAGAUCCUAUUCGGAAAUUGAAAUUCCCGGGUAAAACUCUCGACUUCCGCAUUCCGACGUCACUUCCGUGUUCUGCCGACGUUGCUUACGUAUUCGCCGUCAUCACGUAUUCAGUCUUUUGACGCGGUCUGCUCUUUGACCCGGAUGAUGUUACAUACAGAUGCCAUCUUUGAAGAUGGCAUUUCAGUCCAUGUAAAUCCACUCAUAUAUAAAAGAUACAAUCAGUAACAAAUAAUAAAAUACAUUAAUUAAUAUCACAACGAUCAUAUCUACAACAUUUUAUUUUAUGUAAGCCACAAUAUAGGGAGAAGUCAUCAACAUAUAAAAAAUAAUAUAUGAAAAAUAUAAGAAAUAUAAAAAUAUAUAAAAAAGUUUGAUCUAGAAACCUUGUCCCUGGGCGGACUCAAUGUGGACUUUGAGAUGGCAGCCCUCAUAUAAUACUAUGAGAUAUAGAUAUAUAUAUCAUACUAUUUUUAUUACUCUUUGGAUAUCAAUAUAUUUUUAUACUUAAUGUUUCUAUAUUGGCCUUAUGGAUAUUUAUAUAUAUAUAGAUUUUUAUCUUAUAUAUAUAUAUUUUUUUUUUAUAUAUUUCUUCCAGAUUGACCCAGUGAAAUACGGAUUGUAUUAUUGAUGUACUAAUAUAAGUAUAAUAUUGUAUUAUUACCUUUGAGCACCCCCCUUCUCUCUUCUUUUUUCACUUUUAUGUACUUGUAUAGUGCCUUUGGUGAUUUUUUUGGCACUUGGGGGUAGUUGCUGUUCUUCACUUUACUAUUAGCGCCAAUCCACCUGUAUAUAUUUCUUGGCUAGGAAAUAUAUUUUGUUUGUUUAUUCAAUAGGUUUCAUGAUGAUCUGUUAACUGAUUAAACACUUUGCUGGGAGUCGUCCCUAUGUACAAUAAUAUAUUCUUAGGUAAUGUUUGCUACUUUGUUUUCAAAAUGGCUUGACUAUGUUAGUAACUGACAUACUAAAUUUAACCUAGUCAUUGGAAUAUGUAUGCAUACGCUUAAAUAUGCAAAGCUAAAUGACAAUGGCAAUUUAAAGGUUAACUGAUCUUAACCACGAUUUGCUCAAUAUUUAUUUUGUCACUGCAUUUUCAAAUUCUGUUUACUUUCUAGGGAAAGUCUAUUUACAAACUAGCAUCUUAAAUAUUUUUUGUCAAGGAAAUAUUCUGCAGGUCUGUUUACUAGUUAAUGAUAACCGGCUUGCACUAUUUAGGCCAAAGUUGCUGAGAUGGGAAAAAAAAUCAGCAACUCUUCAGCUAAAUUGUAAUUUUUUGCUUUUUUGUGAGCUCGGUUUAUUUGGGCUAAAUUCAACUUGGUUUUCAAAGCUAAUUGUAUAGAAAAUCAUCCUUAUCUAUGAAAUGACAAUGAUUGUAAGCAAUUCUGUUUUGUACCGGAACAGUGCUCCUGUAUCUUGAAAAAUGUGGCAUAAAAUAUGCAUCACUGGUCACUGGUAAUGUAAGGCAUUAAGAAAUACAGGUAUAAAAGCCUUUUAAGACUGUUAGUGUACGAGUACUUUUUAUAUUUAUUUGCACAUUGUAGGCAAUGUUAGUGAGUGGUAGUGAUCAUACAUUAUUUUUAGUGGACCAAGACUUUUUUUUGUCAUGUUAUACAGAUAUUUUACCAACCUAAGGAAUGUAUAUAUAAUGAAACCCCAUUAGGACUUAUAUACCAUCAUAUUACUGAAUUGCAUUAUUUAAGCCAAUAUAGCUGUUAGGUUUUUGCAGUUUGGUUUUUAGUUCACAAUACUUAACCUGUUCUGGAAUCCUAUGAGAUUAAGUUAAAUAAAAGUCAUCCUGUCUUAUACAGCACCUUAUUUAUUUACACAAUGCAGUUCAUCGAAGAGAUUCCAGUUUCUCUUUAAUAAACAGAAAUCUUCAUGCUUUACUAUCAAGCACUUUGUGAUUGAAAAAAUUCUUAGUAUAACAUUUAUGAAAAGCAAAAUAUGCAAAACUAGAAUAGAAACAUAACAAAACAAUUUUGUGCAUAGAAUUCUUUAUAGACAUACUGAAAAAUUAAAAUUAUCUAAAUUAACACAAUUGCUAUUUUUCAAUAAUUCAUCCAGCGUUUAUAAAAAAAUAUAUGGGAAACAUAAGGUUUUCAACAGUAUGGCAUUUUUCCUAAGUCACCCUUCUUAGGACUGACAAUGCCUAUUUUUGACCAAAUUUCUCUCCAUCUUUUGUAUUCUAAUGUUCUUCUUUUCUAAGAGCUUCUUAUUGUUUGUGUGUCUGAGUGUAUAGAAGAGCUUCAAAGCAAUAAUAAUACAAUGAUGUGUCUUUAAACUACAAUAAAAUGUUUUAAUAAAUCAGUGUGUAUAAAUAAGAUACCUUGUUCUUGUUCUAAAUUACAUUUUAAUUGCGUAUUUUUUAUUAGUAAAUAACCUAAAAUUACUCAAUAUAGCAACAAUAUAGCCACACAUCAUUCUUUAUCUAUCGCUAAUGUUGGGAGGUAUGUUAUAAAGUGUCCUUGAUUUUGAAACAUUUCACACAGGGUUUACAAUGUUAGUAUAAAGGCAAAAAUGCAUUUUUUAUCAAAUACAGUAGCUCUGCAAAAAAGAUAAAUAAAAAUGGUCAAAUACCUUGCUUUUAGGUAUUUGUAAGUACCCCAAUGGCUUUACUAUCAGUCCAGCUUAAUGAAAACGGCAACAGAAUGUGAUAAGAAUGUCUGCACUUAAUCUAAUAAAGUUAUAUCAUAUAUUGCUAAAACAAAAAGGUACUAAAAACUGCUAUAGCAAUCCUUAUUAAUCUCUGGACUGCUAAUGUAAUGCUAACAGAGAAAUGGUAGCGUCCAAACCCUCCUUGACUGUAGAAAUAAUAUGACCCAUUGAAACUCCCUUAGCUGUUUGGAGGUAGGGGGUGACCUGACGUUUUCAUCACACUUGCAGGCAUUAAAUCAGUCACCAGUGGCUUCUGGCAAAGAAAUGUUUUCCUCAUGCUACAGGCUGGUAAUUACCCCUUACCCCUUGUAUAACUGAAUAAGACUUCAUGGACUAAAUUCAAUUCUGUAAGAUACAUGAAAGUAAAAACGUUUAUAUUCGCUACCGAAUUUGAUUCAUACAGGAUUUGUUAUUAAUAUGUCUCUACUUUGCUCUCUUUAACCCCUUAAGGACACAUGACAUGUGUGACAUGUCAUGAUUCCCUUUUAUUCCAGAAGUUUGGUCCUUAAGGGGUUAAAAAAGUUCACUCAGACAAAGCAUGUUCAUUGUUUCUUGGACAAUGAAGAGCAUUCGCAGGUUGUAGUCAGUGUUUACUUCUGGGCCUGUGUUUUGAGUUGUAUUUCUCUUUGCGUGAUUGUUGUGGAGUUGAAUUCCCUAAGUAACACAAGCAGGAUUCUGGUAUGUCCUAUUUUUUGUCUUGUGGUUUAGCUGUGAGUCAGAGAAAAACAGAGGAUACUUCUUGGAGAUUCACUGACACCCUUAAAUAUAAUAUAUUUUUAUUAUACUUUUUCCUCCAUAAUAAUUUUGUUAUUUCAGGGUACAAAUGCUCUCCCUCCAUUGGAUUAUUCUAUCAGUUGCACUUUUUAUAAUAUAUUUUAAAAUAAACUUUUCAAGAUUUUUAGAUUUCUUUAUCAUUAUCUAGCUUGAGUACUUUUUUCCCUAAAUGCCUUAGAGGCAGUUCAACAUACUGAGAUAGGUGAUAUGAUAGAAAUGUUAAAGUACACUAAGGGAAUUAAUAACAUUAAAGGAUUUCUCCAACCCUUUUUUGAAAACAUGUGAAUAAUAUACUAUUGGCAUUAUUCUUCAGGGUCUCCUUAAUAGAAAGUUUGAAAAGCAUUUUAUAUGAAGGUUUUAGUUACCUUAAUUCAGCGCAAUACAAAGCCUCUGGCUUUGGUCGGAGCACCUCCAUCUGACAUCAUAGAAAAGCCUUUGAUUGGACCAUUUAACCGUCUCAGAACGUGUGCGUGCGCUCUGAGCUGGCAAGAGGAGACAGAGGUAAAGCAGGAAGAGGGAAGGCAGGGGAAAAAAAUAUCAGAUAGGAUAGGGAGGUGGGAGAGCUACAAUUAAGAAUGGUGAGAUGGGUAAGGGAGAAAAAUUUAAUGUCUGUCAGCAGCAUGCGGUGCAGGCUAAUCUCAGACAUUUUUUAUGCAUAGAAGCAUAUUGGCAUUCUAUGACAUUGGCAUUAAGCAACACAGAACAGAGUUCUAGGCUGCCAAUGUCACGUGUGCAGGGGGUGCAACCAUAAUAAACAAAAAGCAGAAGUGUUCAUGAUGGUUGUAGUAACACUUUAAACUCAAAAUGUUUUAACAUAAAGAGCAACACCUAAACAAGAUGUCAUAAUCUUAAAUUGCAAUAGCUAAGGUGUAAUGUGAAGAAGCUUUACUUUACAGAAAAGGUGCUUGAUCCAUGGCAUGGACUAAAGAGAAAGACUAACAUGUUAUUCACUAAAUAUUCAUAGUGAAUUUCAAAAUUGAGGCCAAUUAGAAAAAAAAAAAAAAAAUCAAAUCCAUACAGUUUUUAAUUUGACUAUAUGGUCCUUAAAAGUUAAAUUUACUUUGACUUCACUCAAAGUAAGUAAGUUUCUGACAAUUUUCAAUUAAGUAAAUAACCCUGUAAUGAAAUUAAAAAAUAACUUGGAUACACAUAUGGCUGUCCUAACAAGUAAUUAAGUUUACUGUUCACGUCUAAUAUGAGCAGACUUCUUGUGCCUUUAGGUUCUUAUCAGUGUUCAAUAUCUGUUUGUACAGUAAUAUGUUAAAAACCCAAUACUUUUCAGAUUCGGAUUAAAUCUUAAAUAGUUUCUGAGUUUUCAAUAUUAAUUUUGUUUCCAUGUUUUUAGUUUUUUUCUCAUUACUGUACCUGCUAAUGCUUUAAUUCAGAUUGAAAGAAUAUCUAAAGUAUAUUUCACUAUGUGGCAGCAAUACCAAUGACGGCACCUAUUAGCUUAAAAUUGAAUUCGGCAUGGAUUCAUCGGUUAUACAGUAUAUCUAUUAAACAGUGGUUCAUAUGUAUACUUCUAUGUAGAAUUUAAAUAGAUUAAUAAUAAUUCAUUAUUAUAUCCUAAAUACAAACAGUCCAUACUUCUCUAUGUUUUGGGUUAUAAAAAAACAUCUUGGUGUAGACAUUAAAUACAUGAUCAAAUAUUAAAAAACUUAACAUUUGAAUGCGUUGAAUCUACUAAGGAAAGAGAGUGUUAUAUUUUGUACAUAUUGUAGUUGGUUUCUAAUAAUAAAUUGAUUUUUCUGCAAACAUUGUAAAAGGCAAAACCAAAGACUCCAUCUGCUGCGUAGAAAUGCAACUCCCAUCAAUUUGGGUAGCCCAAGAGUUGUUUAAUGUUUUACAUACAUACACACUUAUACUGAAGCCAUUCUAUAACAGUAAUGUUUAGAUUUCUUAAAACACUUAAAAUUAAAAUUAGAUUCAUUAUUAAUAUUAAAUGGAAAUGUAAUGUAAAAUGUACUUUCUCAUAGGUAUUUUUCACUGCCUUGUUUUUGUCAUGAUAUAAGACAUUCAACUAAUUGGAAAAAUACCUGGGGUUUGUCCAGUAAUCUGGCAAUUGUGCAGAAUUGUGCAGAAAGGAAACCGCAAAUUCUACUCCAACACAGCUAUGGCGGAAAAUAAGUGAGAUGGAGCUUUUAUUCUAACGUAGCCUAAAAUUAAAUUUUUCCUGGUAUAUUCUCAUUUGUGCCUAAUUCCCCUUGCGUCAUGCUAGCUCUCCUAUUAUGGGAUUAUAACAAUUUUAUUAUUUUUCUAAUAUUGAGAUUUCUACCAGUGUCGAGUACUGUUAUUGACACAUUAAUUAUAUAAAUUUGAUUAUAUAAUAAAAUAAUAAAAUACAUGACUGAACUUUUAUGAAGAGGAUGCAAUUAUUGCAAAUGAUUCUAAGAUCUUAGAUAUUCAGUUGCUCAAUGACCCAGAAGUAAGGCUCAUGGCUGCAGGUUCAAUUCCCAGCAGGGCCAAUAAGCCUUUUGACUUUCAAGAAAAUUAGUAGAUUUAAGUGAGUAAUUCCAACAUAUAUUAAUCAUUUGCUGAUUUUGUUAAAAUCUGAAAGUUGUUGCCAAAUAACUUUAUAAAUCCUUAAGGAGAAAGAUUAUUAUUAUUGUUAUUGUUAUAAAUGCAUGUUUUAUCUGACUCUUGUUUUUAAAUCUGUUUUAAAUGAUUAAUAGCAUAAUUUUUUGUUUUUGUUUUAGCCAACCUAUUAUUUAUACCCAUGAUUAAAAGGACACUGUAGGCACGUAGACCACUUCAGCUCAUUGAAGUGGUGUGAGUGCAUUGCCCCAUGUCACUUAACUCUACAGUGGUAAUUACCUGAGAAACUGCACUAAUUACCUCUGAGGAACUCCAGUGUCAGAUUUUUCCCCAUAAGAAAGCAUUGAAUAAUGCUUUCAUAUGGGGAAAUCCUAAUGUGAGCACGGCCAUUGCCACGUAUGCACAUUAGGUCUCCCCCGCCGGCUGACGUCGGCAGAUUAGGAGCGUGGGCAGAGCCUGACCCAGCGCUGACGGACAUCGUGCUGGAUUCAGGUAAGUGACUGAAGGGGUUGUAACCCCUUCAGCCCUGCAGGAGGGGGAGUGCAAGGGAGGGGGUUACUGCAGGAGCCUAUAGUGCCAGGAAAACGGGUUUGUUUUCCUGGCAAUAUAGAAGGCAAGCACAUAGAACAAAAUGUGCAAUAUUAUUGAAUACCUAUGGCAUGUUUUCCCCUUGUUUCAUGCACUUAUGUAACUGAAAAUGAAUAAUGAAUAAAUGCAUCACCUAAUUUUAUGAAAACAUCUCAUAAUCCCCGAAAAAUCUAAAUUAUAUGAAAUAGUUACAAAGCACAUUCCACGAGAAAGUAGAACUACAAAAUAGUAACCAUUUCCUAUCUUCUGUCAAUUUAUGAUUUUUUAUGGUUUAUAAAAAAAUGCACGAACCUAUUCUCUAGCAAUGACUUUCAGAUAAUCAUUCAUAAAUUAUAUAAUAAAGUAUUUAAUAACAAAGUAUUUAACCAGGAAAGGUACAUUCAGACUACUCUGGUUUCCAAGUAUGCCUUGGGGAUGUUACUUUUGCCCAACAUCCAGGGUAUGUUACUAUCACACAAUUUAAUGGUACUUAUUUUAUCUACCCUGGAAUGAUGAGGGGUUGCGUCAACUCUGCUGGGGUUUGAAUCUGUGACCCACAAGUAUUGAACAGAUUCCACUGAUGAUGCAUUCAGGGCCCGCCUUAGGCCUUUAGGCGCCAUGUGCGAAAAAUCUUCACAGUGUCCCCCUCCCUCUCCCCGUCAUCCAUGUAUAGUGUGUGUGUAUAGGAGUGUAGUGAUUGAAUAGGGGAUUUAUUAAAUUAAUAAUGAUUUUAAAAAAAUAUUCCUUCCUCCUUUCCAGUUGUUACCUAGUUGAGAGAGGGGCACGCUGAUCUGAAUCUGGUCUGCCCCUCCACUGGGUACAGACCAUGCGUAACUGUCUCGCAAGCUCAGGGACUCGCAGUGUCCUGUGGUAAUCUGCGGCAGCGCUGUGAUUAUCCUGAGCUAGGAAGACAGCUACUUAUGGUCUGCAGCCAACAGAAGUGCAGGCCAGAAGUGCAAGACUGCCUCCCCUACAUUACAGAGGAGCAGACUAAGUAUGUCACAUUAUACUGUGAGUGGUUUUGCUUUGGAGCUCUGGAUUAUACUUAUUUACCUUGACCUCUUUGGAAUAAAGAUUUAAAGUAAUGCGCUACUUCUCCAUUUAUCACAGAGCUCCACAACAAUAAAACUCCCAUUAACGUGGAGUCUGUGACAAGAUCAUACACUACACAACAAUACAACUGUUAGUAAUGUGUCUAUUAGUGUAUCACCAAGCUCCCUGACUAUAAAACACAGAGUAAUGUGCAUUUUAUAUACAAGAGUUCCACUGUAAUACAUCUCACUACAAUAUGAUGUAAUGUUUGUGUUGUCCGUGUAUGUGAUAGGUGUGAUGACUGUGUGUGAUAUGUAUGCUAUGUGUUGGCUGUGUGUGAUAUUUGUAAUGGGUGUAUUAACUGUGUGUGAUAUGCGUGUAUUGGUUGUAUGUGAUAUUUGUGCUGGGUUUAUUGCCUGCGUGUGAUGGGUAUUUAAUUCAGAUAAAAAUAUGCAUUUAAGUCUAUGUGUGAAUGCAGGUGUAUAUUUUUGCAGACUUAUGUGAACACAGUCCCACAGUCAGAUACACACAGUUAUACAUAUACACUGUCAAAUCCACCACACCACCGCACACAGUCGCAGGCAAAUGGUCACAUACACAGGCAGAAACACACAAGUACAGGCAGUAACACACAUACACAGUUACAGGCAGAUAAACACACACACACACACGCACACACAAUUACAGGUAGACAGCCACACACACACACACACACACACACACACACACAAGCAGACAGCCCCACAUAUACAGCCACACAUACAGUCUUACACACACAUACUUACAUGCAGACAGUCACACUUAUUCGCACACACACACACACGAAGACAGCCACACACUCACACACACAGGCAGACAGCCAGACACACACACACACACACAGGCAGGCAGCCAAACACACACAAGAAGACAUCCACACACAGAGGCAGGCAGUCACACACACACAGAGGCAGACAGCCACACCCACAGGCAUACAGCCACACAAACAGACAGAGGCAGACAGUCACACACAGGCAGUCACACACACACACACAGGCAGACAGUCAUACACACAGACACACACAGGCAGACAGUCAGACACACACAGGCGGACAGUCAAACACACACAGGCGGACAGUCACACACACACACACACGCAGGCAGACAGUCUUACACAGACACACACAGUCCCACAGGCAGACAUUCACACACACACACACACACAAGCAGACAGUCACACACACAGGCAGACAGUCAAACACACAGACAGACAGCCACGCACACACACACAGGCAGACAAUCACACAUAGUUACCUCUGUUCAUUAUGGAGGAGUGGAGGCAGUGCAGCUCCUGGAGUCCCUGCUUCCCCUGUAGCAGUUACCUGGCACUUUUAGCUCUGCACCCUGCCGUCAGUUUAGUUUCGAAUCCACCGCACGUGAAGCUCCGUCUCCACCGCAAUAUUGUUUGUUUGUUUUUAUAAUAUAAUAUAAUAAUUUUUACUUUUCAGUAAAGGUAUACUACCAAAAGGAGUUGUUUUUCAGGUUUCAUGCAGUGCUUCUAAAUAUGAUUAGAUGCCUUUCUGUUGCACACAGUUAAAUCAUUAAAAUAAAUAAAUUUGACAGAGAGAGAGAGAGAGAGAGAUAAUUAAACUAAGAGGGAGUGCAAUACCAUGUUCUAGUAAACUGAAUAGGUGCAAUACCAUGUCUAUUGCUACAGGUUUAUUAUUGUUACUUUCUGUAAGGUAUGGGCAAGGGAUCACCUUUUAUCUGCCCAUGUGAUGGCAAUAUGCCACAAGUAUGUCCAGUGUCCUUGACAUAUAGUGUUUCUCUUCUGACUUGCAAACAAUUUGUCCAGUAAUGUUCCAUCCCUAUGCCACAAAUGAUGCAAAAUUCUCUCAACCCUGUCCAGUAACUAAAACAUUCCAAAACAAUACGUCCUACUUCCAUAAUCAAUUCCCAUGAAAGAUACAUGGAAAAUAAAGAUGUAGAAGUGAAUGUAACUGUGUGCAGUAUUCCAGCUUCUCUCAAAAGAAGAUGCACUGGACUUAUUGAGGAUCGUGUGGUCCCAGAAAUAUUUUACCCCGUAAUGGGCUUUUAAACAACAUAACAUUUUCACUUUUUACAAAUGUACAUUGAUUUUUUUUUUUAUAUACAUAUAUAAUUCUUUAUUUUUGCAGUGCAUAGAUUAACAUACCGGCUUGUGACAUCACAGCAAAAUCAAGGCAUGGAAAUAAAGAUUAACUUUUUUUGUGUAAUAAUAAAAAAAGCAAUAUGCACAACCUGUCAGUGGGUAGCAGGGUGAAAUCGAAAAUAAUUUGCGACAACAGUUGCAUGGUAGACAUCCAGUGUGUGUGAGAGAAUGUAUGUGUGUGUCUGUGUAUGUGUGUGUAUAUGUGUGUGUCUGUGAGUGUGUGUGAAAUCAGUGAGAGUCUGUUUGUCAUUGAGUGUGUGUGUGACUCUCAGUGUGUGUCUGUCAAUGAGUGUGUGUGUGUUUGUCAAGGAAUAAGUGUGUGUCAGUGAAUGUGUGUGUGUCAAAUCAGUGAGUCGGUGAGUGGCAUCUGUGUGUUUGUCAUUGAGUGUGUGUGACUGAAACUGUAUAUCUGCCAGUGUGUGUCUGUCAGUGAAUGUGUGUGUCUGUCAGAGUGGGUGCUUAAAGGGACAAUAUAGGCGCCAAGACCACUUUAGCUCAUUGAAGUGUUCAGGUUGCAGUGUCCCAGUCCCCAUAACUCUGCAAGUGCAAUUAUUGCAGUUUUUUAGAAAGGGUAAUUGAAGGGUUAACUCCACCUCUAGUUACUGUCUGACAGCCACUAGAGGGACUUCCGGGUAGUUAGAAAACCAAAUGUCCAUGAGGACAUCCAACUUUUGCUAAAUCCCCAAAGAAUUGAUACAAUGCCUUCCUAUGGGGAAGUCUAAUGCAAGCAUGGACUAGGAGCCUGACUUAUUUAACCCCUUCAGUGCUGAGUGAAGGGGAACUAUAGGGUACUAUAGGGCCCGCAAAAAAUCCCUUUAAGGAGUAGGUACGAAGAGGCUGAGUUUUUAGAGGAAAAUGUGGAGUCUAAAGAGGCAGGGGUGGGUGUUAAUCAGGAAGAGGAGUGGCCUUAAAAGGAAGCGGUGGGGCAAAUUUAGGUUACAGGGUGCCCAGGUUUAGUCAUACCAAAAUACACCAUUGAACCUGUUUGCUACUACAGUUUGACAUAAAACAUUUACAGCAGCAGGCAAGUUAAGCUGAGCAGUAGUUGGUCAAGGGACAGUAGAGUCUGAUCCAAUAUGGCUGAGAACAAGAUUUUCAAAAAAAAAAAUAAUCAAAAAACUAAUAUACCUCAUUUAGAAAAUAUUAUAAGUUUCAUUAAGUGUAAAAAUUAAAAUGUCAGUUGUCUUUUCAGUAUAGCAUCUUUUUUCUGUUUUAUAUACUAAGAUAUAAAACACUCACACUUAUUACUUAAAACUGUUAAAAAUACAAAAAUUGCAUAAUGUAUUGUUGGAUAUAAUGAUCGUGUUAUAGAUUUAUUUUUAAUUUAAAUUUUUUUUUUUUUUUUUUUUACAGUUUCCAUGUGAAUUAAUUCAAUAUUUAUCAAUUCUGUUUGAUGCAACUCUC
RNAcentral lists this long non-coding RNA (22079 nucleotides) under Pelobates cultripes (western spadefoot toad). The record is from RNAcentral. Lineage: Eukaryota; Metazoa; Chordata; Amphibia; Anura; Pelobatidae.